RNAcentral lists this ribosomal RNA (1836 nucleotides) under Escherichia coli. RNAcentral describes it as "partial 23S ribosomal RNA". It matches the Rfam family "Bacterial large subunit ribosomal RNA", at positions 388 to 2209 of the family's 2925-position model. The record is from RNAcentral. Lineage: Bacteria; Pseudomonadati; Pseudomonadota; Gammaproteobacteria; Enterobacterales; Enterobacteriaceae.
AUGCACAUACUGUGAGCUCGAUGAGUAGGGCGGGACACGUGGUAUCCUGUCUGAAUAUGGGGGGACCAUCCUCCAAGGCUAAAUACUCCUGACUGACCGAUAGUGAACCAGUACCGUGAGGGAAAGGCGAAAAGAACCCCGGCGAGGGGAGUGAAAAAGAACCUGAAACCGUGUACGUACAAGCAGUGGGAGCCUCUUUAUGGGGUGACUGCGUACCUUUUGUAUAAUGGGUCAGCGACUUAUAUUCUGUAGCAAGGUUAACCGAAUAGGGGAGCCGAAGGGAAACCGAGUCUUAACUGGGCGUUAAGUUGCAGGGUAUAGACCCGAAACCCGGUGAUCUAGCCAUGGGCAGGUUGAAGGUUGGGUAACACUAACUGGAGGACCGAACCGACUAAUGUUGAAAAAUUAGCGGAUGACUUGUGGCUGGGGGUGAAAGGCCAAUCAAACCGGGAGAUAGCUGGUUCUCCCCGAAAGCUAUUUAGGUAGCGCCUCGUGAAUUCAUCUCCGGGGGUAGAGCACUGUUUCGGCAAGGGGGUCAUCCCGACUUACCAACCCGAUGCAAACUGCGAAUACCGGAGAAUGUUAUCACGGGAGACACACGGCGGGUGCUAACGUCCGUCGUGAAGAGGGAAACAACCCAGACCGCCAGCUAAGGUCCCAAAGUCAUGGUUAAGUGGGAAACGAUGUGGGAAGGCCCAGACAGCCAGGAUGUUGGCUUAGAAGCAGCCAUCAUUUAAAGAAAGCGUAAUAGCUCACUGGUCGAGUCGGCCUGCGCGGAAGAUGUAACGGGGCUAAACCAUGCACCGAAGCUGCGGCAGCGACACUAUGUGUUGUUGGGUAGGGGAGCGUUCUGUAAGCCUGUGAAGGUGUACUGUGAGGUAUGCUGGAGGUAUCAGAAGUGCGAAUGCUGACAUAAGUAACGAUAAAGCGGGUGAAAAGCCCGCUCGCCGGAAGACCAAGGGUUCCUGUCCAACGUUAAUCGGGGCAGGGUGAGUCGACCCCUAAGGCGAGGCCGAAAGGCGUAGUCGAUGGGAAACAGGUUAAUAUUCCUGUACUUGGUGUUACUGCGAAGGGGGGACGGAGAAGGCUAUGUUGGCCGGGCGACGGUUGUCCCGGUUUAAGCGUGUAGGCUGAUUUUCCAGGCAAAUCCGGAAAAUCAAGGCUGAGGCGUGAUGACGAGGCACUACGGUGCUGAAGCAACAAAUGCCCUGCUUCCAGGAAAAGCCUCUAAGCAUCAGGUAACAUCAAAUCGUACCCCAAACCGACACAGGUGGUCAGGUAGAGAAUACCAAGGCGCUUGAGAGAACUCGGGUGAAGGAACUAGGCAAAAUGGUGCCGUAACUUCGGGAGAAGGCACGCUGAUAUGUAGGUGAAGCGACUUGCUCGUGGAGCUGAAAUCAGUCGAAGAUACCAGCUGGCUGCAACUGUUUAUUAAAAACACAGCACUGUGCAAACACGAAAGUGGACGUAUACGGUGUGACGCCUGCCCGGUGCCGGAAGGUUAAUUGAUGGGGUUAGCGGUAACGCGAAGCUCUUGAUCGAAGCCCCGGUAAACGGCGGCCGUAACUAUAACGGUCCUAAGGUAGCGAAAUUCCUUGUCGGGUAAGUUCCGACCUGCACGAAUGGCGUAAUGAUGGCCAGGCUGUCUCCACCCGAGACUCAGUGAAAUUGAACUCGCUGUGAAGAUGCAGUGUACCCGCGGCAAGACGGAAAGACCCCGUGAACCUUUACUAUAGCUUGACACUGAACAUUGAGCCUUGAUGUGUAGGAUAGGUGGGAGGCUUUGAAGUGUGGACGCCAGUCUGCAUGGAGCCGACCUUGAAAUACCACCCUUUA